RNAcentral lists this ribosomal RNA (1308 nucleotides) under uncultured bacterium. Its description in RNAcentral is "bacterial SSU rRNA". It matches the Rfam family "Bacterial small subunit ribosomal RNA", at positions 28 to 1381 of the family's 1533-position model. The record is from RNAcentral.
AACGAACGCUGGCGGCAUGCCUCAUACAUGCAAGUCGAACGAGAUCUUCGGAUCUAGUGGCGCACGGGUGAGUAACAUGUGGGAAUCUACCUGAAGGUUCGGAAUAACUGCGGGAAACUGUAGCUAAUACCGGAUGUGUCUGCAAAGAGAAAGAUUUAUCGCCUUCAGAUGAGCCCGCACUAGAUUAGCUAGUUGGUGAGGUAAUUGCUCCACCAAGGCUACGAUCUAUAGCUGAUUUGAGAGGAUGAUCAGCCACACUGGGACUGAGACACGGCCCAGACUCCUACGGGAGGCAGCAGUAGGGAAUAUUGGACAAUGGGGGAAACCCUGAUCCAGCAAUGCCGCGUGAGUGAAGAAGGCCUUCGGGUUGUAAAGCUCUUUCAUCAAUGAUGAUAAUGACAUUAGUUGAAGAAGAAGCCCCGGCUAACUUCGUGCCAGCAGCCGCGGUAAUACGAAGGGGGCUAGCGUUGUUCGGAAUCACUGGGCGUAAAGCGUAUGUAGGCGGAUCAAAAAGUUGGAUGUGAAAUCCCUGGGCUCAACCCAGGAACUGCAUUUAAAACUAGUGAUCUAGAAUUUGGUAGGGGUUAGUAGAAUUUCCAGUGUAGAGGUGAAAUUCGUAGAUAUUGGAAAGAAUACCAGUGGCGAAGGCGACUAACUGGGCCAUUUUUGACGCUGAGAUACGAAAGCGUGGGUAGCAAACAGGAUUAGAUACCCUGGUAGUCCACGCAGUAAACGAUGAGUGCUAGUCGCUGGGACAAUAGUUUCAGUGUCGAAGCUAACGCAUUAAGCACUCCGCCUGGGAAGUACGGUCGCAAGAUUAAAACUCAAAUAAAUUGACGGGGGCCCGCACAAGCGGUGGAGCAUGUGGUUUAAUUCGAAGCAACGCGAAGAACCUUACCAGACCUUGACAUGGUAUGUUUGAAUUACAGAAUCGUAAUUCUUCAGUUCGGCUGGCAUACACACAGGUGCUGCAUGGCUGUCGUCAGCUCGUGUCGUGAGAUGUUGGGUUAAGUCCCGCAACGAGCGCAACCCUCAUUUUUAGUUGCCAUCAGGUAAUGCUGGGCACUCUAAAAAAACUGCCGGUGAUAAGCUGGAGGAAGGCGGGGAUGACGUCAAGUCCUCAUGGCCCUUACGGUCUGGGCUACACACGUGCUACAAUGGUGGUGACAGUGGGCAGCAAUACUGCAAAGUAAAGCUAAUCCCAAAAAACCAUCUCAGUUCGGAUUGGACUCUGCAACUCGAGUCCAUGAAGUUGGAAUCGCUAGUAAUCGUAGAUCAGCGUGCUACGGUGAAUACGUUCUCGGGCCU